RNAcentral lists this ribosomal RNA (253 nucleotides) under uncultured bacterium. Its description in RNAcentral is "partial 16S ribosomal RNA". It matches the Rfam family "Bacterial small subunit ribosomal RNA", at positions 524 to 776 of the family's 1533-position model. The record is from RNAcentral.
UACGUAGGGUGCAAGCGUUAAUCGGAAUUACUGGGCGUAAAGGGUGCGUAGGUGGUUGUUUAAGUCUGUUGUGAAAGCCCCGGGCUCAACCUGGGAAUGGCAAUGGAUACUGGACAGCUAGAGUGCGGUAGAGGGUAGUGGAAUUCCCGGUGUAGCAGUGAAAUGCGUAGAGAUCGGGAGGAACACCAGUGGCGAAGGCGGCUACCUGGACCAGCACUGACACUGAAGCACGAAAGCGUGGGGAGCAAACAGG